RNAcentral lists this ribosomal RNA (921 nucleotides) under Panagrolaimus subelongatus. RNAcentral describes it as "SSU rRNA". It matches the Rfam family "Eukaryotic small subunit ribosomal RNA", at positions 39 to 966 of the family's 1831-position model. Lineage: Eukaryota; Metazoa; Nematoda; Chromadorea; Rhabditida; Panagrolaimidae. The record is from RNAcentral.
AAAGAUUAAGCCAUGCAUGUCUAAGUACAUGUGUAUUUAACACGAAACCGCGUAUGGCUCAUUAUAACAGCUAAAAUUUACUUGAUUUUGACUUUUAUCCUACAUGGAUAACUGUGGUAAUUCUGGAGCUAAUACAUGCAUAAAAGAUAUAACAUUUAUAUGUUAUAUUGCGUAUAUUAGUAUUAAAACCAAGCAUUCUUCGGAAUGUUUUGUGUUGAAACUGAAUAUAUCAUGCUGAUCGUAUGGUCUUGUACCGACGACAUGUCAUUCAAGUGUCUGAUCUAUCAACUUUCUAUAUAAGUAUAUAGUACUUAUAUGGUUUUGACGGAUAACGGGGUAUUAGGGUACGACUCCGGAGAAAAUGCCUGAGAAACGGCGUUUACAUCCAAGGAAGGCAGCAGGCGCGAAAAUUACCCACUCUCAGUACGAGGAGGUAGUGACGAGAAAUGACAAGAUCUAUUCCUUCGGGGAUGGAUCAUUGGAAUGGUUUGAUUUUAAAAUCAUUAAAGAGUAUCAAUGAGAGGGCAAGUCUGGUGCCAGCAGCCGCGGUAAUUCCAGCUCUCAUACUGCAUUGAAUUGUUGUUGCGGUUAAAAAGCUCGUAGUUGGAUCUGUACAUGAUAGGUUAGUUCAUCCUUUGGAUUGUAACUAAUACUAAAUGUUUUUUAUUAGAUUUUUUAUUUUUUUACGAAAAUAAACGUCUAAUGAGUUUACUUUGAAUAAAUCAGAGUGCUCAAAACAGGCGUAAGCUUGUAUGGUUUUGCAUGGAAUAAUAGAACAUGACUAUGGUUCAUGUUUUAUUGGUUUUACUUACCAUAGUAAUGAUUAAAAGGAACAAACGGGGGCAUCCGUAUCGCAGGGCGAGAGGUGAAAUUCGUGGACCCUUGCGAGACGAACUACAGCGAAAGCAUUUGCCAAGAAUG